Molecule: non-coding RNA, 87 nt
Organism: Mycena latifolia
Lineage: Eukaryota; Fungi; Basidiomycota; Agaricomycetes; Agaricales; Mycenaceae
Source: the annotation of a GenBank genome assembly
GGCUUGAUGGCGUAAUGGUAACGCACUCCGUAAAUAUGCACAUUAUUGAUUGGCGGAAAGUCUGGAGUUCAAUUCUCCGUCAAGCCG